AGCAAAUCAGUCCUCCAUCCACCACCUCUACAUUCACAAUCUUCCCACUUCAAACAAAAAAGGAACGAAUGAUUGUGAAAACAUGGUAGAUAAAGCUGACUCAAGAGAUGUUGUCCAAGACUAAGUAACAAAAUGAGAGAUGUUUUCCCACAAACACUAUACAUGAUCAAAUAAGUAAACGGUAAUGGUUGUUUCUUUCUACUUUUUCACAACACCAAUCUUAAUCCAACUUCAAAACAACUUAUAUCUAGUACCAAGCCAAAUUUAAACUCUAUGAUAGAGGUUACUUGAGGAACUUACUAUGGGAAGAUAGACUUAACCUUG
Molecule: long non-coding RNA, 324 nt
Organism: Arabidopsis thaliana (thale cress)
Lineage: Eukaryota; Viridiplantae; Streptophyta; Magnoliopsida; Brassicales; Brassicaceae
Product: other RNA
Exons: 1
Source: RefSeq